GCAAGUCGAGCGCUCACUUCGGUGGGAGCGGCAGACGGGUGAGUAACGCGUGGGAAUCUACCCAUCUCUACGGAACAACAGUUGGAAACGACUGCUAAUACCGUAUACGCCCUUCGGGGGAAAGAUUUAUCGGAGAUGGAUGAGCCCGCGUUGGAUUAGCUAGUUGGUGGGGUAAAGGCCUACCAAGGCAACGAUCAAUAGCUGUUUUGAGAGGAAGAUC
This 220-nucleotide ribosomal RNA is filed under the name uncultured bacterium. RNAcentral describes it as "partial 16S ribosomal RNA". It matches the Rfam family "Bacterial small subunit ribosomal RNA", at positions 57 to 305 of the family's 1533-position model. The record is from RNAcentral.